Molecule: ribosomal RNA, 593 nt
Filed under: uncultured bacterium
Lineage: Bacteria
Description: bacterial SSU rRNA
Rfam family: Bacterial small subunit ribosomal RNA
Source: RNAcentral
CGCCCUUACGGGAGGCAGCAGCAAGGAAUCUUCCGCAAUGGGGGCAACCCUGACGGAGCGACGCCGCGUGCGGGAGGAAGCCCUUCGGGGUGUAAACCGCUGUUCGGGGGGACGAUCGAGCGACGGUACCCUCGGAGCAAGUCCCGGCUAACUACGUGCCAGCAGCCGCGGUAAGACGUAGGGGGCGAGCGUUACCCGGAGUCACUGGGCGUAAAGGGCGUGUAGGCGGCUGGGUACGCCGCGUGUGAAAGUCCCCGGCUCAACCGGGGAGGGUCGCGCGGGACGGCCUGGCUCGAGGGCGGGAGAGGCGGGUGGAAUUCCCCGUGUAGCGGUGAAAUGCGUAGAGAUCGGGAGGAACGCCGGUGGCGAAGGCGGCCCGCUGGCCCGUACCUGACGCUGAGGCGCGAAGGCGUGGGGAGCGAACCGGAUUAGAUACCCGGGUAGUCCACGGAGUAAACGAUGCGGGCGAGGUGUGGGUGGUGUUGACCCCAUCCGUGCCGGCGCCAACGCAGUAAGGCCGCCGCCUGGGGAGUACGGCCGCAAGCUAAAACUCAAAGGAAUUUACGGGGGCCGCACAAGCAGCGGAGUUGUGG